Molecule: transfer RNA, 72 nt
Filed under: Pinnotheres excussus
Lineage: Eukaryota; Metazoa; Arthropoda; Malacostraca; Decapoda; Pinnotheridae
Description: tRNA-Leu
Source: RNAcentral
UUCUAAAAUGGCAGAAAGAUGUAUAGGACUUAAACCCCUACAAGGAAGAUUUUUUUUUUCUUCUUUUAGAAU